GUAAAAAGACACAGAACAUGCAUAGUAAUUCUUGCUCCAAAAACAGCCAAGCAGUGAGGAUCCUACACGCCAGCUUUCAUCCCGAUGGCUCAGCAAUGUGGGUCCUGUGGUUCUCAGAGGACGUGUACAUGGAGGCCCCAUUCUCAGGCCUCCUGGCUUCCCGCCUACACAACAGCAGCACGUUGGAGGGUUGGGUGUAGGAGGCUGAUGGACAAGGGAGUGAGAAAAAACAGAAUCAUGCUAUGUGUAUCAGCAUCAUGCCGGCUUCUGAGCCAUGUUAGGCCCUGACUGUGGGGUUUGAGGCAAUGCACAUUUAUUUCUUACAAAAUCUAUCGAUGCAGGUGGUCCCAGGUGGUAGCAUAUUCCCCCAAACUCAGAGGCCCAGGCCCUGCCAUCUAUGACUGCCCCAUCCCACAGGACCCUGCAGGCCUCAGUGGCCCCAUCACCUGAGCCUGGAGGUCUACACAUCCCCUCCAUCCUCCCACAACUCACCCGGACCCAGGCAUCCAGGAAAUGUGCUCCUAGCUGAAAAGUAGCUUCCCACCUCCAUUUCUUGCUGCUGGGGAAAACAUCUGGGGUGAACAGCUAGCUCUUCAUCCACAGGGAGAUAAUGGGGGCAAAGGAGACCCCCAUUAGUGGACACCCCUCCAGCCUUGUGCUGGGCUUGCCCAGUGUAGCCCGGGGAGUCCCUCCCAUCCAGGGAACAUGGAGAGAGUAGACAGUCCUCCCCUCCUGAGCAGUAUGACCCAGACAACAACCUCGACAGGGAGAGGGUGAGACCCAGCUCCCCUCCACAGAAGUGGAGUAGGGGCCGUGGGAGCAGGUGCACAAGCCGGCUCCCACCGCUUCUGCCCACAGGCUCAGGAGAACCCAAAGUCGAGUGAGACGCAGCAUUCCGAAGCAGAGACAGGGAUGCACAGAGUCUGGAAUCAGAGCAGAAGAGGUGUGAAGACACACAGGAGCAGAGAGCUUUACCAUGUGAGGCUGAAGCACAAGAGGCUUGAUUCAUUUCCCCGUCCACCACCCCACAACACAAACCCCACGGAGCACUUGAAACGACCACACUACGAACACAGAGUCAGGAGAUGGGCUUUGGGACAGGACGGGGCCACAGCACCCAGGAGCCGGGGUGGGCUGGUGAGCACGGGCUUGUGUUGUGACUUCAAGGCCCCACCCACGCACCAAGCCCACUUCAACAAAAUCCACAAGCACGUUCUGUGGCUGCACCAGCUGCUAGCCAGAUGCCUCCGGUUCUGAAGCACCUGUCACCCGUCCCCAGGCCACUGCCAGAGCCUGGCUUCUGCAAGCACUAAUGAGAACUGUCUUGUUUGCAUUUAUAUAUUUAUGAGAGACCCCAGCACACUUGCAUCUUCUCUGUUCUGCAUUUGGAGAAAAUGCAGCCAUUUCAAAGAUGAGAAAAGGAGACCACAACAUUUUAGAAAAAAACAGACCAGGAGGAUCAUAUUUCACCGAGUAAAUUGACAAAAGGUCAAAAAACUUGAUCUUUACCACUGAUGUGCUUUGUCUGAAAGCUGAACUACCAUUUAAAUAUUUAUAGGCGAGCGCUGUAACUGCAGCCUAGGGUCCUGAGUCCAGUGGAAGCCAGGCUGGGACGGCUGUACGAGAAAGAAACAAGCCAGUUCCUUCCCAGGGAGGCUCUGCGCAGGGACAGGCCAGUGGUCCUACUUGGGAUGGUUCCGCACCUGCCACCCACCAGUGGCCACUGAGCUUGGAAGCAUCACUGCGAGCGCGUGAGCCCGUGGCUUCAGGCAGGAGGGAAGGGACGGAGGCAGACAGGAGCACUGAGCGGGAGCAUCAGGCAGGAGCAUCACGGCCUGGAUGCACAUGCUCAGCCCAGCUCUGUCUGGGGAACACCCCAGCCGCAGUGCCCACACUCAGUGCCCACAUCGUGGUUGCUAACUAUUGUUCUCCACCAAAAGAAACCAGGGUCCUUGGAAAAGGACCUCCAAGGGGGCUAAUUCUGGGACUGGAGCAGGGAGAGUGCCUGCUGAGCCGGGAGCAUUGUAUUAUGGAGGAAAUGAUGGCCACAGAGAGCGCGGGAAUCAGGAGGGAGCUCCCUGGGCUCAUUACCCUGCACAUUAAAAUACACGAUGAUAAUAGGUCUAACCACUGAAC
Vulpes vulpes (red fox) is the source of this 2136-nucleotide long non-coding RNA. The record is from Ensembl. Lineage: Eukaryota; Metazoa; Chordata; Mammalia; Carnivora; Canidae.